UGUAGCUCAGUGGUAUAAAGAGCACUUGCCUUGAAUUCGAGAGUUACUGGGUUCAAGCCCAGCA
RNAcentral lists this transfer RNA (64 nucleotides) under Heterocephalus glaber (naked mole-rat). Lineage: Eukaryota; Metazoa; Chordata; Mammalia; Rodentia; Bathyergidae. The record is from Rfam by way of RNAcentral.